RNAcentral lists this ribosomal RNA (119 nucleotides) under Pteropus alecto (black flying fox). RNAcentral also lists the same sequence under 1 other name. The record is from RNAcentral. Lineage: Eukaryota; Metazoa; Chordata; Mammalia; Chiroptera; Pteropodidae.
GUCUACAGCCAUGCCACCCUAAAAACACCCAAUCCCGUCUGAUCUCAGAAGCUAAGCAGGGUCGGGCCUGGUUAGUACUUGGAUGGGCGACCACCUAGGAAGACCAGGUGCUGUAGGCG